RNAcentral lists this ribosomal RNA (253 nucleotides) under uncultured bacterium. RNAcentral's name for it is "partial 16S ribosomal RNA". It matches the Rfam family "Bacterial small subunit ribosomal RNA", at positions 524 to 776 of the family's 1533-position model. The record is from RNAcentral.
UACAGAGGUCUCAAGCGUUGUUCGGAUUCAUUGGGCGUAAAGGGUGCGUAGGUGGCGUCGUAAGUCAGGUGUGAAAUUUCGGAGCUUAACUCCGAAACUGCAUUUGAUACUGCGGUGCUUGAGGACUGGAGAGGAGACUGGAAUUUACGGUGUAGCAGUGAAAUGCGUAGAGAUCGUAAGGAAGACCAGUGGCGAAGGCGGGUCUCUGGACAGUUCCUGACACUGAGGCACGAAGGCCAGGGGAGCAGACGGG